This 499-nucleotide ribosomal RNA is filed under the name uncultured bacterium. RNAcentral describes it as "partial 16S ribosomal RNA". It matches the Rfam family "Bacterial small subunit ribosomal RNA", at positions 28 to 507 of the family's 1533-position model. The record is from RNAcentral.
GACGAACGCUGGCGGCGUGCCUAAUACAUGCAAGUCGAGCGAAGUUUUUCCGGUGCUUGCACCGGAAAAACUUAGCGGCGAACGGGUGAGUAACACGUAAAGAACCUGCCUCAUAGACUGGGACAACUAUUGGAAACGAUAGCUAAUACCGGAUAAUAGCAUUAACUGCAUGGUUGAUGUUUAAAAGUUGGUUUUGCUAACACUAUGAGAUGGCUUUGCGGUGCAUUAGCUAGUUGGUGGGGUAAAGGCCUACCAAGGCGACGAUGCAUAGCCGACCUGAGAGGGUGAUCGGCCACACGGGGACUGAGACACGGCCCAGACUCCUACGGGAGGCAGCAGUAGGGAAUCUUCCGCAAUGGGCGAAAGCCUGACGGAGCAACGCCGCGUGAGUGAAGAAGGAUUUCGGUUCGUAAAGCUCUGUUGUUAGGGAAGAAUGAUUGUGUAGUAACUAUACACAGUAGAGACGGUACCUAACCAGAAAGCCACGGCUAACUACGUG